Molecule: ribosomal RNA, 305 nt
Filed under: uncultured bacterium
Lineage: Bacteria
Description: bacterial SSU rRNA
Rfam family: Bacterial small subunit ribosomal RNA
Source: RNAcentral
AUAUCCUACGGGGGGCAGCAGUGGGGGAUACUGCACAAUGGGGGAAACCCUGAUGCAGCGAUGCCGCGUGAGUGAAGACGGCCUUCGGAUUGUAAACUUCUAUCAAUAGGGAAGAAAGAAAUGACGGUACCUAAAUAAGAAGCCCCGGCUAACUACGUGCCAGCAGCCGCGGUAAUACGUAGGGGGCAAGCGUUAUCCGGAAUUACUGGGUGUAAAGGGAGAGUAGGCGGCAAGGUAAGCGAUAUGUGAAAGCCUUAAGCUUAACUUAAGGAUGGCAUAACGAACUAUCUAGCUAGAGUACAGGA